This is a long non-coding RNA of Esox lucius (northern pike), 2379 nucleotides long. NCBI's taxonomy places the organism in Eukaryota, Metazoa, Chordata, Actinopteri, Esociformes, Esocidae. The record is from Ensembl.
CAGUGCAUCUGUAUUUAAAUGUACAUUCCACAUAAUGGAGGAAUCUACUGUAGCUCAGAAACAAUAACCACGUGACAAAUAACCUUGUUUGUAAGUAAUAGUGUGAAGGAAUGAGGUUGAACAAUUUGGCUGUGCUUUGUCCUACAACUUGUUGUUCCAGCUGGAUACCAAUCUUGUCUUAGUGUCCUACAAUACAAAAAAAUGCAAGGUGUGUUCAAAAGCAGUUUAAAGUAGGUUGUGGCUGAAAAAGCCUUGUGUCAUUGUUGUAACACUCUCAGCUGACUACGUGUAUCAGGCCCAGCCAUGGAUACCUCUUCUAUGGGUCGUUGUGUUUUCUUUCUGGUUCUGGCUUUGAUUUUUGAUGUUGUUGGUUUGAUCCUGUUUUUCUUGGGGAUUUUUGCUCCAUUGAAUUUCUGGGACUUCUUUGUAUUGUCAGGUCCAUUGCUCAUCUUCCUGAGCCUGGUGUUCUGGAUAUUCUGGUACCUAGGGAGUCUCACUAUCCCCUACGAAGAGCUUGUCUUACCAAAGUGACACGCAAACAUAGUAAAAAGUGAACUGACCAGUGGCUGGUACCUUGGACUUUGUCUUAUACUUGGACUGGAACUGAAGCGAAACUCAAUAACAAAGGAGAUGACCUAAAGAAUCCUCAAAAACUCAAUGACAUUUUUAAUUUAUUAUGAGAUUUUUGUCAUUUGACCUUCAAUGGAGUGUAUAAACACAAAAUGGUAGACGACAUAUAAAUGGUCCGCGAUGACUGAGCUCAAGACUUCAAACUUCAGGGAAUUGCCCAGAUUCUGAAUAUUUGACAUUUGGUUGUCUUUUGACAAGCUUUUUGUGUACCUUUCUGAGGAUAAUGAUGGUGAACAAUGAGGAAGAAAUUAUUUAAGGCUAGUUUUAAAAAGACAUUGGUUGGAUAUGAAGAAUGACAAUUUGCUCCUUAUUCUACCCCUGGUGUGCCAGUUAAACUGAAAUGUUUUCAUGUAUGGGCAGAAACAAUUUCAUCCCUGCUGUGUUGGAGAGGAGCAACUCUAAAGCACUUUGGACAGUCAGCAAGCAAUCAGCAUGUGCUGUAUAUUUAACAUAUUGGGUUAGUUUCUGUUCUUAAAUACACAUUUAUGUUUUGUAAAUGUUUGUUUUGUCCUGAAACAAAAAUGCCAGCCAGAAAGAUGCUUUAAAAAUGUGACUCAACCUUGUAAAUGACAAGUCAUGAGUCUGCCUGAAACCAGUAUAAAUGACCAAUGUUGGUUUUGCUUGAGGAAGUUAAAAAGAUCAAACUAACCAUGAGUGAAAACCAACCAGCCAUCAUUAUUCGGCAAUGACGAAGGCAUUUCUAAACAGACGCUAGCAGGGAGACAAUGCAGCGGAAUUGUUUGACUGACAUGGAGUCUGGGUGGCUGUAGCUCCAUCUGAUGCCCUCACUGAAAGUGUUAUUAAUGUGUCCAUUUGGCUGUGGCCCCGGUCAGAGGAAAUGGAGAAGCAGCAUUAGAGCAGCUCACUUCAGGAGCGGUGGGAGGGAAACCAUGCUGCUCAGACCCUCACGGGACAGUGGAUUUCCUGCUAAUGCUGGAUUUCAGGUUGUCAUGGCGGCCUGAGUCAUAAACAUCAAUUGCACAUUAUCACCUCACACAUCAGUAGGAUAAUAUGAUGAGGCAUUGAACUAAACAAGUUGGAGGUGAGGCAAGAUCUCAGUUGCUUGUUUACACAUGGCUUACAAUUAUGGAUUUGCCCAUCAACCUGAUGCAAUAUUCCCUUCUCAUACAAAAGGGAUGUCUUGGAACCAACCCAGUACCCCCUGUAAAUAGCAACGUUAAUGUUAUUUGUAUGAUUUGCAAGUAUUCCUUGUUAUUGUUAUUCAUAUCACUGUGUUCAAAUCCAUAUAGUCAUAUGCUUGUGUUACUACUUUCUAUAAGACUUUUUUCCAAUAUACAUAUUUUGAGAAAUAAAGUGAACAUUUAACUGUUUGUCUAUACCAGUUCAUGAAGAAACAACUGACAUUGUAUUUGAUCAACCAUUACAAAACAAUAAUCCCUUAUUGCUUUUGUUUGAGAGAGACAGAAACAUUGGUCAGAGCCAGCUCCUUGGUUGUUGCACUAUAUGCAUUUCAAGAUAAAAAAACAAAGCAAUUGGAAGACUGUCCAUAAUCUAUUGAUCAGUAAUUAUUCCAUUACAUUAUUUCUAAAUACCUUUGGUACAGUUAAUAGUAUUUUUCCCCCAUCUUGUAAAUAUUGUAAAUAAAAUAAGAGGAGCAUGUCUCCCUCCAGUGGUGGCUAAAUAUUCAUACUGUCCAUUUGUAUCUGUGGUCUUGUCCAGAACACCACCAAAUGUAAGCAAGUUUGAAAUGAUUCAGUUUUAAACAAAUAUAUUUUAUUUUAUUUUUGG